This 246-nucleotide ribosomal RNA is filed under the name uncultured bacterium. RNAcentral describes it as "partial 16S ribosomal RNA". It matches the Rfam family "Bacterial small subunit ribosomal RNA", at positions 15 to 254 of the family's 1533-position model. The record is from RNAcentral.
GAUCCUGGCUCAGGACGAACGCUGGCGGCGCGCCUAACACAUGCAAGUCGAACGAGAGAGAGGAAGCUUGCUUCCUCAAUCGAGUGGCGAACGGGUGAGUAACGCGUGAGGAACCUGCCUCAAAGAGGGGGACAACAGUUGGAAACGACUGCUAAUACCGCAUAAGCCCACGACCCCGGCAUCGGGGUUGAGGGAAAAGGAGCAAUCCGCUUUGAGAUGGCCUCGCGUCCGAUUAGCUAGUUGGUG